GGGGCCUUAAUGGUUUCGACGUGUUGGCGAAAGCCGCCCCGUGAUUCAGGUCGAGAGUGAGUCUUCUCUCGUUAAUACCGGACUCAAAAAAAAGUAAAUGCGAACAACAUCGUUCCUUUCGCUCGUAAGGCUGCUCCUGUAGCUGCUUAAUAACCUCUAAUUGGUUCGAGCGUCUAUAGUUUGACUCCGUUAAGGACUAUAGACCAACCCCAACGGAUGCUCUCUUUAGUUGCCUUUGGUCGGUUAAAGAGAAAAGACUUCACCAAAGAAUCCUGUCAUCCGGGACAAUGGAUGGUUCCCGCCCUGAGGGUCAGAUGGGCUAAGCAUGUGAAUGAGCGGUAGGUCAAUACCCAAGGCGGACACGGGUUCAAUUC
RNAcentral lists this transfer-messenger RNA (374 nucleotides) under Microcoleus sp. SIO2G3. RNAcentral describes it as "partial transfer-messenger RNA". It matches the Rfam family "transfer-messenger RNA". From Rfam's summary of the family: Bacterial tmRNA, also known as 10Sa RNA or SsrA, is named for its dual tRNA and mRNA-like properties. The record is from RNAcentral. Lineage: Bacteria; Bacillati; Cyanobacteriota; Cyanophyceae; Oscillatoriales; Microcoleaceae.